RNAcentral lists this long non-coding RNA (1603 nucleotides) under Dasypus novemcinctus (nine-banded armadillo). Its description in RNAcentral is "lncRNA (ENSDNOG00000050782.1)". Lineage: Eukaryota; Metazoa; Chordata; Mammalia; Cingulata; Dasypodidae. The record is from RNAcentral.
CCUCCACCCCGCCCCGCGUCCUCCACGAUUGGCCGCUGCGCCCACGACCCCCUCCCGCCCGCACUACCCCGGCCCGCGCCGCCCUCCCGGCCCUUCUGUCGCGCACCCGCCGGCCUGCCGGGUCCCUGGAGCCGCGGUGAGUGCGCUCGGCCUCGGCCCGCGCGCGGGGAGGGCGCCCGGCGGCCUGCGGGCCCGGGUGGGGCUGGGCCCCGCGUCCCCUCCAGCUUUGCCCGCCCCGAGCUCCGCUGCUCCCGGCGGCCAGAACGGAGGGGUAGAGCAGCCCUCGGCGGCCCGGGGGGCGGGCGGCCGUGUCCGUCCCGGGGCCGCGGAGGCACAGGCGCCGCGAAGCCGCCCCGAGGGUUUCCCGCGGGCAGGGCCCGGCCCGGUAACAAGUUUGCGCUUUUGCUUCUCCAGGGCCGACCCGAGGCUACCUUGUGGCAGGUUCGGGGCCGGGCCCUGCCCCGGGGGGCGAGAGCCGGUCCGGGGCCAACCUCGGGCCCGGGAGUUCGUUCAGACGUCCGCGGGGGUGCAGCGGCCUCAGCUCUGCGCGCAGGAUGAAGACUAGAGGAUCAGACCAUUCAAACUGGAACGAUCAGAUGUUGGUAAUUUGACUUAAAAAACAAAACAAAAAACAUGACUACAGUUAGGACAGUGCUUAUGGUGACAGUAUUUUAGUGGAUGCUUUGCAUGCAUCUUAUUAAUUUUCACAACCCUGAGCACAUACUAUUCUCCCACAUUACAGAUGAAGACAAUUUAGGUAGUGACUUGCUCAAGAUCCCAUCACAUAUGAGGAGCUCUGAAUAGGAGACUUAAUGUGUAGUAUCUUGGCUCUUGGACCUCCAGAAAGUCACUUAUCUCUUGAGACUUGGUAUACUGAUAUACAAUUUAAAAAUGAAACCACACUUAAACACGUUGAACAAAUUUGAGGAGACAGACCACCAUAGAGCUGUUCAGAAUAUAAGCUCUUUAUAUAUAAAAUUGGACUGAAUCUGGAGAUUUUGCAAAACUUGGCACAAAAGAAGCAGCUCUGUCAGCAUGUUAAGUGGUUUUUGAUGUGUGUAGUAGCAAGUCUCCCAGCCGGAGCUUUGAUAUUAGCCUGUAAUAGCCUGAUAACCUCUUUUCAGAAGUGUUAAAUAAAACUAUUUAAUAAACACCUUGCAGUCGUUCUUAAUGCUAAUAACUUUGUCUUUAUUUGAUUUCUUUUUAUACCCCAUUCUACAGUCUACUUGCAAAAGAAGUUGUUUGGUUAAUUCAGUUAACAAAUAUUUGGGUCCCUUCUCCGAGCCAGACACUGCUAGAUGUGAUGGAAAAAACAGACAGAUUUACAUUCUAGUAGGGGAAAGGACCAUAGCGUAAGUAAAGUAUGUUGGGUGGCCCUCACUGCUAGAGAAAGUGAUAGGGAAUGCAUGUGUAUACAUUGAGAGUGGAGCGCAUUUAUAAUUAUUUAGAUAGGACUGGUGAUUAAAGGACCUCAAUACAGAAGUCCCGGGAAAUGUUAUUCCUGUAUAUGUAUAUUUUUGUGAAAACAAAUGCAAAGGCCCUAAGGUACAUAUGUGUUUAAAUAUUUGAGCCUUAAACCUAUCAUGACUAUAAUACAAGGAUA